RNAcentral lists this ribosomal RNA (450 nucleotides) under uncultured bacterium. RNAcentral's name for it is "partial 16S ribosomal RNA". It matches the Rfam family "Bacterial small subunit ribosomal RNA", at positions 354 to 796 of the family's 1533-position model. The record is from RNAcentral.
GUGGGGAAUAUUGGACAAUGGGCGAAAGCCUGAUCCAGCCAUGCCGCGUGUGUGAAGAAGGUCUUCGGAUUGUAAAGCACUUUAAGUUGGGAGGAAGGGCAGUAAGUUAAUACCUUGCUGUUUUGACGUUACCGACAGAAUAAGCACCGGCUAACUUCGUGCCAGCAGCCGCGGUAAUACGAAGGGUGCAAGCGUUAAUCGGAAUUACUGGGCGUAAAGCGCGCGUAGGUGGUUUUGUAAGUUGGAGGGGAAAUCCCCGGGCUCAACCUGGGAACUGCCUCCAAAACUGCAUGACUAGAGUACGGUAGAGGGUAGUGGAAUUUCCUGUGUAGCGGUGAAAUGCGUAGAUAUAGGAAGGAACACCAGUGGCGAAGGCGACUACCUGGACUGAUACUGACACUGAGGUGCGAAAGCGUGGGGAGCAAACAGGAUUAGAUACCCCAGUAGUCC